This 507-nucleotide ribosomal RNA is filed under the name Sporosarcina sp. CL5.123. RNAcentral's name for it is "bacterial SSU rRNA". It matches the Rfam family "Bacterial small subunit ribosomal RNA", at positions 17 to 503 of the family's 1533-position model. Lineage: Bacteria; Bacillati; Bacillota; Bacilli; Caryophanales; Caryophanaceae. The record is from RNAcentral.
CCCUGGCUCAGGACGAACGCAGGCGGCGUGCCUAAUACAUGCAAGUCGAGCGGAAUGAUGAAGAAGCUUGCUUCUUCUGAUUUUAGCGGCGGACGGGUGAGUAACACGUGGGCAACCUACCUUGUAGAUUGGGAUAACUCCGGGAAACCGGGGCUAAUACCAAAUAAUCCAUUUUGCUUCAUGGCGAAAUGUUGAAAGGCGGCUUCGGCUGUCACUACGAGAUGGGCCCGCGGCGCAUUAGCUAGUUGGUAGGGUAACGGCCUACCAAGGCGACGAUGCGUAGCCGACCUGAGAGGGUGAUCGGCCACACUGGGACUGAGACACGGCCCAGACUCCUACGGGAGGCAGCAGUAGGGAAUCUUCCACAAUGGACGAAAGUCUGAUGGAGCAACGCCGCGUGAGUGAAGAAGGUUUUCGGAUCGUAAAACUCUGUUGUAAGGGAAGAACACGUACGAGAGUAACUGCUCGUACCUUGACGGUACCUUAUUAGAAAGCCACGGCUAACUA